UACAGAGGUCCCAAGCGUUGUUCGGAUUCACUGGGCGUAAAGGGUGCGUAGGCGGUCGGGUAAGUCUGAUGUGAAAUCUCACAGCUUAACUGUGAAACUGCAUUGGAUACUAUUCGGCUUGAGAGUUGGAGGGGGGACUGGAAUUCUUGGUGUAGCAGUGAAAUGCGUAGAUAUCAAGAGGAACACCAGUGGCGAAGGCGAGUCCCUGGACAGGUCCUGACGCUGAGGCACGAAAGCUAGGGGAGCAAACAGG
Molecule: ribosomal RNA, 253 nt
Filed under: uncultured bacterium
Lineage: Bacteria
Description: partial 16S ribosomal RNA
Rfam family: Bacterial small subunit ribosomal RNA
Source: RNAcentral